Molecule: transfer RNA, 72 nt
Filed under: Camelus bactrianus (Bactrian camel)
Lineage: Eukaryota; Metazoa; Chordata; Mammalia; Artiodactyla; Camelidae
Also listed under: 1 other name
Rfam family: tRNA
About the family: Transfer RNA (tRNA) molecules are approximately 80 nucleotides in length. Their secondary structure includes four short double-helical elements and three loops (D, anti-codon, and T loops).
Source: Rfam by way of RNAcentral
GGGGAUGUAGCUCCGGGGCAGAGCACGUGCCUAGCAAGCAUGAGGUCCUGGGUUCAAUCCCCAACAACUCCA